Molecule: long non-coding RNA, 1725 nt
Organism: Pogona vitticeps (central bearded dragon)
Lineage: Eukaryota; Metazoa; Chordata; Lepidosauria; Squamata; Agamidae
Source: Ensembl
GCAGAACUGAUAAAACGUGUCUCUUUUCAACAGAUUGGCACCUCCAUAAACAUUCCACAACCACACUGUGUUAAGGGUUUCCCCCAGCUUACAUUAUGCAGUUGCCGUGCGCUCAGAUACCCUACCAACAGGAUUCGUACACUACAGGAUCAGAACUUGCAUUGAUGAGGAAUAUAAUGAUGAGAUACCAUAUUAGUGCUCCUGGAAAUACUAUACUGUGCUUGUCUGCUACAUUACUUCUAUUGUAGCAGAAAAAUCCUACUAAACUGAGCCAUAGCUGUUCUUUUGUUUCAGAGCAGGGUUGGACAAAAUCUGGGGACUUGGUGGUCAAAUUCAACCCCUCCCCAGGCUGUGUGAACUCCAAACAUUUCUUGCAGGGGGAGUUUUGGGGAGUCUCAUCUUUCCCUAAUCCAAGAAGCAGAAAACUGCUAUUGCUGGAUGGACACACCGGUGCCAUCCAGCCCUUUCAUCUUUCACUGCUGCUUGCCAUGAAUCCUCUUAUCUUCAGUUGUGUAACAAAUGAAUGGGAAUCAGUGAAUCUUCUUUGCACCCAUUGGCUCCUUGCUCAUGUUCCAAAUUAUAUGAUUGGCUCGACCGAGGACUUCUCAGAUUCUGUCUUAACGGCUGCCACACCUGUACUCCGGGGGAGCACUCCACGCCAUGAGCGUCAGCCGCUCUUUUGUCUUUACAUUCGUCUUGGGAGGAGGGAGCGCUUCACGAGUUGAAACAGGUGGUGGCAUGAAACAAGAAGCUAUGCCAGGAUGAUAUCAUCAUGUUUCACCUUUUAUGGUAUCUUCUAUGAACACAGGAAGAAGGUGUGACGAUGUCCUCGAAAACACUGGAAACACCAUGACCUGCAGUAGAGCUGCUUAUAGAAGAAACUGUGUUUAUAGCUCUCAGUGUUGUUUAUCUUCGUACUGAGAAAAAAAAAUCCCCUUCUUCCUUUCUGUGAAGUCACUUUCCAUCCCUUCUUGCUCGUCCAGUUAAAAAUGGCUGAUAGCAAACAUGAAUACAGACACCACUGAGACAGAGAUUUCUCUCUUUCAUUUUUGGAUUCUCUUCUUUUUCCUCAUGCACCAUAUAUAAAUGGAUUUCUUAUAGAGUGUAAACUUAAGAGAUGCUUUAUGAAUGAAUACAUACAUUAUAUAAAACAUGGCCACAGUGCAAAAAGCACCCAUGUUGUUUGUAUGAAAGUUGUAUCAACAUGUACAAAAGGAUGUUUAAAUUGAUAAAUGAUUCAGAUGACUCGUCCACAUUAUUUUGAGCCUUGCUAAAUACACAUUUGGGUGCUAACUGUUUUUUCUAGCCAUGUAUGCACGAUUCUGCUCAAAGGUGAAACACCUGAGCAUGAUCAGUAAAUCCUUCUGUUUCAGCAUCAAGGUUUUGAACCUCUUCUAGAAAAUCACUGCAGCCUGAAGAUUCUUUGCUGCACAUCACCUAGUUUGGUUGCCAUCAUUGCUGAAAGAUGCUUACAUUCAUGUUGAAAACUGUUCACCUCUGUACUCCUGAACAUGACUUAUGGGGCUUCAAAUGGACAAUUGCAUGCGUGAUUCAAAACAAUCCUGGGCCCCUGAUCUUUAAUGCAAGAAGCAAAAUGAAGCUGCCUCGGAUGUCAUUUCCUUGAAACUAAGUUUUAGAUCUCUGAAGUUUUAGAAUAGCAUACAAGUGCUCCUGGCAUGAUGCUGGGGACUCAGCUGAUCUUGAGUCACGUUCCAACACUUCACA